This 399-nucleotide ribosomal RNA is filed under the name uncultured bacterium. RNAcentral's name for it is "bacterial SSU rRNA". It matches the Rfam family "Bacterial small subunit ribosomal RNA", at positions 109 to 518 of the family's 1533-position model. The record is from RNAcentral.
AGGAACACGUGAGUGACCUACCCGCAAGUUUGGAACAGCUCCUGGAAACGGGAAUUAAUACCGGAUGUGAUCGAUGAACUGCAUGGUUUAUUGAUUAAAGCAGCAAUGCGCUUGCGGAUGGGCUCGCGUCCCAUUAGCUAGUUGGUGAGGUAACGGCCCACCAAGGCCAUGAUGGGUAGCUGGUCUGAGAGGACGACCAGCCACACUGGGACUGAGAACUGCCCAGACUCCUACGGGAGGCUGCAGUCGAGAAUUUUGGGCAAUGGACGAAAGUCUGACCCAGCAAAUGCCGCGUGCGGGAUGAAGGUCUUCGGAUUGUAAACCGCUUUCAGCAGGGACGAGGCGCAAGUGACGGUACCUGCAGAAGAACGCCCCGGCUAACUACGUGCCAGCCGCGGC